RNAcentral lists this ribosomal RNA (1545 nucleotides) under Klebsiella pneumoniae. RNAcentral describes it as "bacterial SSU rRNA". It matches the Rfam family "Bacterial small subunit ribosomal RNA". The record is from RNAcentral. Lineage: Bacteria; Pseudomonadati; Pseudomonadota; Gammaproteobacteria; Enterobacterales; Enterobacteriaceae.
AAAUUGAAGAGUUUGAUCAUGGCUCAGAUUGAACGCUGGCGGCAGGCCUAACACAUGCAAGUCGAGCGGUAGCACAGAGAGCUUGCUCUCGGGUGACGAGCGGCGGACGGGUGAGUAAUGUCUGGGAAACUGCCUGAUGGAGGGGAUAACUACUGGAAACGGUAGCUAAUACCGCAUAACGUCGCAAGACCAAAGUGGGGGACCUUCGGGCCUCAUGCCAUCAGAUGUGCCCAGAUGGGAUUAGCUAGUAGGUGGGGUAACGGCUCACCUAGGCGACGAUCCCUAGCUGGUCUGAGAGGAUGACCAGCCACACUGGAACUGAGACACGGUCCAGACUCCUACGGGAGGCAGCAGUGGGGAAUAUUGCACAAUGGGCGCAAGCCUGAUGCAGCCAUGCCGCGUGUGUGAAGAAGGCCUUCGGGUUGUAAAGCACUUUCAGCGGGGAGGAAGGCGAUAAGGUUAAUAACCUUGUCGAUUGACGUUACCCGCAGAAGAAGCACCGGCUAACUCCGUGCCAGCAGCCGCGGUAAUACGGAGGGUGCAAGCGUUAAUCGGAAUUACUGGGCGUAAAGCGCACGCAGGCGGUCUGUCAAGUCGGAUGUGAAAUCCCCGGGCUCAACCUGGGAACUGCAUUCGAAACUGGCAGGCUAGAGUCUUGUAGAGGGGGUAGAAUUCGGUGUAGCGGUGAAAUGCGUAGAGAUCUGGAGGAAUACCGGUGGCGAAGGCGGCCCACGGACAAAGACUGACGCUCAGGUGCGAAAGCGUGGGGAGCAAAACAGGAUUAGAUACCCCGGUAGUCCACGCCGUAAACGAUGUCGAUUUGGAGGUUGUGCCCUUGAGGCGUGGCUUCCGGAGCUAACGCGUUAAAUCGACCGCCUGGGGAGUACGGCCGCAAGGUUAAAACUCAAAUGAAUUGACGGGGCCCGCACAAGCGGUGGAGCAUGUGGUUUAAUUCGAUGCAACGCGAAGAACCUUACCUGGUCUUGACAUCCACAGAACUUUCCAGAGAUGGAUUGGUGCCUUCGGGAACUGUGAGACAGGUGCUGCAUGGCUGUCGUCAGCUCGUGUUGUGAAAUGUUGGGUUAAGUCCCGCAACGAGCGCAACCCUUAUCCUUUGUUGCCAGCGGUUAGGCCGGGAACUCAAAGGAGACUGCCAGUGAUAAACUGGAGGAAGGUGGGGAUGACGUCAAGUCAUCAUGGCCCUUACGACCAGGGCUACACACGUGCUACAAUGGCAUAUACAAAGAGAAGCGACCUCGCGAGAGCAAGCGGACCUCAUAAAGUAUGUCGUAGUCCGGAUUGGAGUCUGCAACUCGACUCCAUGAAGUCGGAAUCGCUAGUAAUCGUAGAUCAGAAUGCUACGGUGAAUACGUUCCCGGGCCUUGUACACACCGCCCGUCACACCAUGGGAGUGGGUUGCAAAAGAAGUAGGUAGCUUAACCUUCGGGAGGGCGCUUACCACUUUGUGAUUCAUGACUGGGGUGAAGUCGUAACAAGGUAACCGUAGGGGAACCUGCGGUUGGAUCACCUCCUUACCUUAAAGAA